Molecule: non-coding RNA, 23 nt
Filed under: Arabidopsis thaliana (thale cress)
Lineage: Eukaryota; Viridiplantae; Streptophyta; Magnoliopsida; Brassicales; Brassicaceae
Source: RNAcentral
GGAUCAGUUUAGGUUCGGUUGAU